GUUUACGCUCGGGAUUUUCAGUUGUAUGCUGACUGCUGAGUUAAUGAGUACAACGUUGACGGUGCUAGUUUGUGCAUUAGAGCUAAAUGUCAGUAAUCUACGUGAGACGAUUGACACCAUGGCUGAAAAGAUCAACAGGAACUGUAUUCCUUUGAGAUCUCCUCAGGCAGCAUAGAAAAACAUCAAGAUUUUAUUCACAACACUUAAGGAGUUGAAAGAACAAUGGAUAUUGUAAUCUCUUUAUAACCCAAUCAACUAAUCGAAAAAGCAUUGGCGAUGGCGCUGGACAGUGACGAAACUAAAUCAAUAACGAUAUCGAACGAGGUACUUCCACGUCUAAACUAUUGACAUCCUUGUUGGCUUUCAGCUCUCAGAGUCUUGGAGUGCAUCAUCGAGUCAGCAGAUAUUAACCAGAUUCAGGGAAGAAAAGUGAUCAUUGGAGUGAGUGACAUUUAUCUGGUAGGUGAGUUUUAGACGAAGAAUGAAAUUUACCAUGUAGCCCAGCUCACGGCUUUCAAUCUUCAAGUUUGUUGAAUGUUGCAGUAACAAUAAAACAUGACCACAACUUGUGAGUGUACUGAAACGACUUGAAAUGAGCAAAUUGUGCUUGAUGACAUCAGCCACUAUGCACAUGCUAUUCAUGUCAUAUCAGGGCCCUCGAUUUUUUAUAUUAUCCUUCCGAAAUUAAAACCGAGUUGAUCACAAGGUACUUGAAAAAGACAACACGGCAGAUAAAAAUAUCAUGCGUCACCUGAAAUUAUAUACAUUUAGAAGAAGAUAUUCCAUUUAUAUUAAAGUUAACACACGUUCCUGAAGUUAACUGAAUAUGAUAAUAUACAUACUAAUAAUCAGCGAAGUCACUGAUGAUCUCAUUUAAAUGCGAGUUACUUUUCUCUCCGUGUAUUUUUGUUAGUAUAUAACUUCAUCCACUGAAGAUAUCAUUAGAGCUUUUCUGAUUGUUAUUGCCUUAAAAUUUGAAGUAUUUUUCUUUUAACAUAAGAUCCAAAAUAAGAUUAGUUCA
Long non-coding RNA from Macrobrachium nipponense, 1021 nucleotides. RefSeq lists it as uncharacterized. The transcript has 3 exons. Lineage: Eukaryota; Metazoa; Arthropoda; Malacostraca; Decapoda; Palaemonidae. The record is from RefSeq and is a predicted model, not a curated record.